GAACGCUGGCGGCGUGCUUAACACAUGCAAGUCGAACGGAAAGGCCCUGCUUGCAGGGUGCUCGAGUGGCGAACGGGUGAGUAACACGUGGGUGAUCUGCCCCUUACUUUGGGAUAAGCCUGGGAAACUGGGUCUAAUACUGGAUAGGACCAUGCUGUAGGUGGUGUGGUGGACAGAUUAGUUUCGGUACGGGAUGAGCUCGCGGCCUAUCAGCUUGUUGGUGUGGUAAUGGCCUACCAAGGCGUCGACGGGUAGCCGGCCUGAGAGGGUGGACGGCCACAUUGGGACUGAGAUACGGCGCAGACUCCUACGGGAUGCAGCAGUGGGGGAUAUUGCACAAUGGGCGCAAGCCUGAUGCAGCGACGCCGCGUGGGGUAUGACGGCCUUCGGGUUGUAAACUCCUUUCAGCCAUGACGAAGCCCUUGUGGUGACGGUAGUGGUAGAAGAAGCACCGGCUAACUACGUG
This 466-nucleotide ribosomal RNA is filed under the name uncultured bacterium. Its description in RNAcentral is "partial 16S ribosomal RNA". It matches the Rfam family "Bacterial small subunit ribosomal RNA", at positions 31 to 507 of the family's 1533-position model. The record is from RNAcentral.